RNAcentral lists this ribosomal RNA (253 nucleotides) under uncultured bacterium. RNAcentral's name for it is "partial 16S ribosomal RNA". It matches the Rfam family "Bacterial small subunit ribosomal RNA", at positions 524 to 776 of the family's 1533-position model. The record is from RNAcentral.
GACAGAGGGGGCAAGCGUUGCUCGGAAUCACUGGGCGUAAAGGGCGCGUAGGCGGGCUGGCAAGUCGGUCGUGAAAUCCUUCGGCUCAACCGAAGAACGUCGGCCGAUACUGCCGUUCUUGAGGGAUGCAGAGGAGAUUGGAAUUCCCGGUGUAGCGGUGAAAUGUGUAGAGAUCGGGAGGAACACCGGUGGCGAAGGCGGGUCUCUGGGCAACAACUGACGCUGAGGAGCGAAAGCGUGGGGAGCGAACAGG